AUGACAGAUUUAUUUAGUGGGAUACAAGCUGCUAUGGUGAUUAAUCAUGUAGAAAAGAGUGACCAAUCCCCUGAAGAUUCGGUUAGCGACGAGGAUGGUUCAGGUGGUUCCACUGGAUUACCAGGGACACCAUGUUUUACUUCCAGGCUUUCAUUGCUCAAAGUUGGUUCGGUUGUUGCCAAGUUCAGUGAUUUCAAGCGGCAGCUAGUUAUGGAGACUGGUUUUGGGGGGUUUCUAGAGGUGAAGGCAUGGCAGAAGAUUAAUCUGAAGUAUAGCGCUUUUUUAAUGGACCGAGUGCAUGUAGAAUCCAGCACAAUCCACCUUGAGGAACAGGGCGUGCUUGAACUGUCCGAACAGAAGCUUAAUUAUGUUUUUGGCAUCCCCUCCGGUGAAUUUGAUAUAAACGGCGAAGGUGUCGAGCCAUCAGAAGCCUGCAUCGAGUACACCCGAAUGGCAGCAACAUUCAGCGACAAAGGCACACAUAGCCUAAAAGCAGCUGAAAAUGUUUUGCUUGGAGCUAUAUCAGAAGCGUCCUCCCAAGUACAGCAGGACUGUUUCAAGAUUGCAUUUGUUAUUUUUAUAAUCGGUCAUGUGCUGGCUCCCACCUCCAAACAUGAUUAUAUUUCCAUAGAUUGCUGGGUUGCACUGAAUGACAUUAGCAAGAUCAAGAGUUAG
RNAcentral lists this ribosomal RNA (675 nucleotides) under Triticum aestivum (bread wheat). RNAcentral's name for it is "partial small subunit ribosomal RNA". The record is from RNAcentral. Lineage: Eukaryota; Viridiplantae; Streptophyta; Magnoliopsida; Poales; Poaceae.